Molecule: small RNA, 133 nt
Filed under: Escherichia coli
Lineage: Bacteria; Pseudomonadati; Pseudomonadota; Gammaproteobacteria; Enterobacterales; Enterobacteriaceae
Description: RtT sRNA
Rfam family: RtT RNA
About the family: This family represents a bacterial cis-regulatory element known as RtT RNA.
Source: RNAcentral
AUUCUGCCCAAGCGGCGAAGGAUGAGAAGCUUCGACCAAGGUUCGACUUGAGCGCCAGCGAGAGAGCGUUGCCGCAGGCAACGACCCGAAGGGCGAAGCGCGCAGCGCUGAGUAAUCCUUCCCCCCACCACCA